RNAcentral lists this ribosomal RNA (254 nucleotides) under uncultured bacterium. RNAcentral describes it as "partial 16S ribosomal RNA". It matches the Rfam family "Bacterial small subunit ribosomal RNA", at positions 524 to 776 of the family's 1533-position model. The record is from RNAcentral.
UACGGAGGGUGCAAGCGUUAAUCGGAAUUACUGGGCGUAAAGGGUGCGUAGGUGGUUUGAUAAGUUAGCUGUGAAAUUCCUGGGCUUAACCUAGGGUGGUCAGCUAAGACUGUUAGACUUUGAGUAUAGGAGAGGGUAGUGGAAUUUCCGGUGUAGCGGUGAAAUGCGUAGAGAUCGGAAGGAACACCAGUGGCGAAGGCGGCUACCUGGCCUAAUACUGACACUGAGGCACGAAAGCGUGGGGAGCAAACAGG